CGGCCGCGUCGACAUCCGAACUGAGAACUAGUUUAUGGGAUUCGCUUGGCCUCGCGCGUGGCAUUAGUACCGCGUGAUAGCCGGAGGAGUGGGAUGACGUCAAGUCCUCAUGGCCCUUACGCGCUGGGCUACACACGUGCUACAAUGGCGGUGACAGUGGGCAGCAAGCACGCGAGUGUGAGCUAAUCUCCAAAAGCCGUCUCAGUUCGGAUUGUUCUCUGCAAC
This 225-nucleotide ribosomal RNA is filed under the name uncultured bacterium. RNAcentral's name for it is "partial 16S ribosomal RNA". It matches the Rfam family "Bacterial small subunit ribosomal RNA", at positions 1150 to 1311 of the family's 1533-position model. The record is from RNAcentral.